Molecule: ribosomal RNA, 513 nt
Filed under: uncultured euryarchaeote
Lineage: Archaea; Methanobacteriati; Methanobacteriota
Description: bacterial SSU rRNA
Rfam family: Archaeal small subunit ribosomal RNA
Source: RNAcentral
AACUUUACAAUGCCGGCAACGGCGAUAAGGGAACCUCGAGUGCCAGGAUACAAUUCUGGCUGUUGAGAUGCCUAAAAAGCAUUUCAUAGCAAGGGCCGGGCAAGACCGGUGCCAGCCGCCGCGGUAACACCGGCGGCUCGAGUGGUAACCGUUAUUAUUGGGUCUAAAGGGUCUGUAGCCGGCCGGAUAAGUCUCUUGAGAAAUCCGGCAGCUCAACUGUCGGGCUUUCAGGAGAUACUGUCUGGCUCGAGGCCGGGAGAGGUGAGAGGUACUUCAGGGGUAGGGGUGAAAUCUUGUAAUCCUUGAAGGACCACCAGUGGCGAAGGCGUCUCACCAGAACGGACCUGACGGCAAGGGACGAAAGCUAGGGGCACGAACCGGAUUAGAUACCCGGGUAGUCCUAGCCGUAAACGAUACUCGCUAGGUGUCGGCCACGGUGCGACCGUGGUCGGUGCCGUAGGGAAGCCGUGAAGCGAGCCACCUGGGAAGUACGGCCGCAAGGCUGAAACUUAA